CUGCACGAUGCACUACCCCGGGCUUCUCUGAAUGAGUAAUCAAUCGAUGACGACGAAAGCCCCAUUGCUCGUGCCAAAACGAUCCGACGUCAAGUGUUGCAGUUCAGCCAUUCUCUUUCUCCACGGCUGAGCUGUGUCAAAUCGACGCCCACAUCU
This is a small nucleolar RNA of Juglans microcarpa x Juglans regia, 156 nucleotides long. RefSeq annotates it as small nucleolar RNA snoR134. NCBI's taxonomy places the organism in Eukaryota, Viridiplantae, Streptophyta, Magnoliopsida, Fagales, Juglandaceae. The transcript has a single exon. The record is from RefSeq and is a predicted model, not a curated record.